Molecule: small nucleolar RNA, 138 nt
Organism: Ornithorhynchus anatinus (platypus)
Lineage: Eukaryota; Metazoa; Chordata; Mammalia; Monotremata; Ornithorhynchidae
Source: RefSeq, a predicted model, not a curated record
UCCCUCUUAGUAUCAUACCUGGAGAGUUUCCAGUACUCUAUCAGUCUCAGAUAUGGGAGGGAGAGUCAAGCAGAGGCAUACCCAUUCCAUUCUUAGCUUGGGCAUUGGUUGGAGAGUGGAAAGUAAUCUGCCACAAGU